RNAcentral lists this long non-coding RNA (1059 nucleotides) under Sus scrofa (pig). Its description in RNAcentral is "lncRNA (ENSSSCG00070013117.1)". The record is from RNAcentral. Lineage: Eukaryota; Metazoa; Chordata; Mammalia; Artiodactyla; Suidae.
AUGUCCCAUAGAGGCCUGGGCAGUGACGUCCCCAUGGAAGCUCGCCGUCCCGCUCCACUGGAGGCCCGUGGGCAGUGCUGGGGCAGUGGCUGCCGGAAGGACGCCGCUGUUUGCCCACCUCUGCCAGCUGGGCCCAGGAUGGCCCUGUCAGUGCCCUGGACAAACGCACAUUCCAUGGGUCGCCUCCCACAAUGUCCCCUUGACCCCAGAGCCUCCCCGGGCCACAGACCUGUGGACAGGCCAGUCUGCAGCUGGGCAGCAUCACAUCCUGUGGGCUUACCUCUGAAAAGGCUGCUGAUCUGUCCAGUUCUUCCAUCUCCACAGCCCCAGGCUGGAGCCACCCUCCCCUGCACAGGCGGCUCCCUUCACCCCCGAGGGAGAAAGCACCCCCACCUGCAGUCCCCGCAGCCCCCCCAAGCCCCACAGCCUCCCUGCAGCCCCCUGGGAGAAAGGCCUAGCCUCCCACACCCUCACUCCUGCCUUGCCUGCCUGGCUCCCUCCAGCCUUGGACCGCUGUCCCCCUUGGUCCCAGAGCCCCAGCCACUGGUCACUUCCCUCACUCUGCAGAUGCUGCUCUCCAGCCUGGCAGUGCUCACUCGUCCCCCCGUCACAACUCUGCCCCUUAGAUGUCCCAGCCCAACUGGCUGCUGCUUGUCUGGGUCCUCAGCCUGCAGGAUGUCCUGUCCCCACGUCCCAGUUGAGGUGAUCAUUGGGUGUAGCUGGUGGCUCUCUGCCCAUCUGCAUGGUGAGGCUGGAAGCUCCGUGAGAGCACAGCCUGUGCAGUGCACCUGUGCCGCAGCGCAGGUCCCGUGGUGCUGCUGCCUGUUCGCCCAGUGCUACGUCGGAGCAGGGCUGUGUCCCUGGAGGUCAUGGGGCAGCACGGAGCAGGAAAGCAGGAGGGCUGCACAAGCUGGUGGUGGGCCCAGAGGCGUGCUGGGGAGCGGGUCACACUGGCCUCCAGGGGAAGUUGGGAACAAAGUGGUGACGUCCUUUGUGGAAUACCAAAUGGGGUACUCGGGUUUCUGGGGCGGCGGCAUGAGCAGCACGUUCCCAGAAUGA